GUCUCUGUGGUGCAAUUGGUUAGUGCGUUCGGCUGUUAACUGAAAGGUUGGUGGUUCAAGCCCACCCAGGUACG
RNAcentral lists this transfer RNA (74 nucleotides) under Danio rerio (zebrafish). It matches the Rfam family "tRNA". Rfam says of the family: Transfer RNA (tRNA) molecules are approximately 80 nucleotides in length. Their secondary structure includes four short double-helical elements and three loops (D, anti-codon, and T loops). Lineage: Eukaryota; Metazoa; Chordata; Actinopteri; Cypriniformes; Danionidae. The record is from Rfam by way of RNAcentral.